UACGAAGGGGGCUAGCGUUGCUCGGAUUGACUGGGCGUAAAGGGCGCGUAGGCGGUUCGUACAGUCAGACGUGAAAUUCCUGGGCUCAACCUGGGGGCUGCGUUUGAUACGUGCGGACUUGAGUGCGGAAGAGGGUCGUGGAAUUCCCAGUGUAGAGGUGAAAAUUCGUAGAUAUUGGGAAGAACACCGGUGGCGAAGGCGCCACUCUGGGCCGAAACUGACGCUGAGGAGCGAAAGCGUGGGUAGCGGAACAGG
This 255-nucleotide ribosomal RNA is filed under the name uncultured bacterium. RNAcentral describes it as "partial 16S ribosomal RNA". It matches the Rfam family "Bacterial small subunit ribosomal RNA", at positions 524 to 776 of the family's 1533-position model. The record is from RNAcentral.